GGUACUCCGGUCCAGAGACUUUCUUUCUAUUUUGCUAAAGCUUUAGAGGAAAGGAUUCAUCGAUCAACUGGGAGAUACACAUGUACGGAUGAAGAUCGCCACCUCAAAUAUAUAAAAACUAAGUCAUUGGGUACCAACGCUACCUCCUUGACCUGCCACCAACUAAUUCCCUUCAAUCAAGUGAUGCAAUUUGCAGCAGUUCAAACAAUUGUUGAAAACGUCAAAAGUGCGAAAAAGAUCCAUUUGAUUGAUUUUAAUAUCAGAAGUGGAAUUCAGUGGAUAGUCUUGAUACAAGCUCUUGCAGAAAAAGGUGACAGUCCAAUUGAGCUUCUCAAAAUAACUGCAGUUGGAAGCACAGAGAAAGAGAACUAUGAAGUAACAGGCAACACAUUACACAGUUUCGCCAAGUCCUUAGGUCUGCCAUUUUCAUUUGAUAUAGUUUUUGUCUCGGACAUGAAAGAUUUCAAGAAAGAAUCAAUCAACAUUGAAACAGAUGAAACUGUCGCUGUUUAUCUGAACUUUAUAUUGAGGACAAUGAUACCAAGACCAGAUUGUUUGGAUAAUUUGAUGAAAGUAGUCAGAAGUAUUAGACCAACAGUUAUUGUUGUUGGUGAAGUCGAAGCAAACCAUAAUUCACCAUCAUUUUUAAACCGCUUUAUUGAGACACUUUUCUUUUACAGUGCAUUUUUUGAUUGCUUUGAGGACUGCAUGGAUCGAGACAGUCCAUGUCGAACAACGAUUGAAGAGGUGUAUUUUGGUGAAGGUGUUCGGAACAUCGUGGCAGCUGAAGGUGAGGAUAGGUUCACCAGGAAUGUGAAGCUUGAAGUAUGGAGAGCAUUCUUUGAAAGGUUUGGUAUGAUGGAAGAAGAGCUUAGUGAAUCAUCUUGGUAUCAAGCUGAUCUGAUUCUCAAGCAAUUUGCCCAAAGCAGUUCUUGUGAUCUUCACAAGGAUGGGAAAGGCCUCAUUAUUGGAUGGAAGGGAACUCCAAUUCAUUCUCUAUCCAUUUGGAAGUUCUUGUAAGAAAAAAAUUUGCCUUGUUGAGGAAACAGAUACGAUGCUUAAUUGGUCAGUUCAUUUGUACACCAUCAGCCUCUGUAGCUGGUAUGACCAUAAGGCAUCUCCAAGCUACAUAAAUCUAGAUUUUUGCACUAAAACUCAUAUUUUUGGGAUAGAUGGCUCAUGUUACCUGCUGUCCCCUUCCUCCUUUGUUUUGAACACCUUGUGAAUAAAGAACGUGCAGAAGAAACGGAGGUCCUUAUAUAGAGUCGCAUACUUUAAGCAGUGUGGGAGACUGGGUUGGUUAAUUACUACUCAUAUCCUUAAAUCAAGAAUGUUAACCACAGAAUUACAAUACUACUAGACACCUACAAUUAGCCCUGAAAAAAACGUAGAGAAAAUUUUGAAGUCCUAUGGUGCCAAAAGGUAUUAACCUCAUUGCAAAUGUCAUGCUUCUGGCUUAUCCUUUUACCAACGAACCUAAUUUUUCAUGCACGCACCCCCCCCCUCUUUUUCCCAAAUGAAUUGAGUUAGUGAACUGACUGGACAGAUUUACUGGUUGGUGACGAAUGCCUAAAUGAAAAAGGUUGGUAAUAUUACUGAAUUUCAUUCUAAAUCUGGUUGGAAGCUAAAGUCCUGGAGGAAUUUGAGUGAUUGGGAGAGAAGAAUUUUGUCAGUUGCUUCAACAAUUGGGAUCAGUUUAAAUUGAUCAGGGUGUACAUCCUGAUUUGCAGGCAAGUAAAGACAAGAAAAUUUUCUAAUUAAGAAUUGCUACAGUAUGUUGGAAAAGCAGUCAGGUCAGGGGGAUAAUUCUUCACCUAGAAGUAUAUGGAAGACAAAAGUUCCUGUUAAAGUAGCAUGUUUUGGAUGGGUUGCAACAUGGGAGCAUGCUUAACUCAAAAUAACCUACAGAAGAGAGGUUUUGACCCAUGAAGUAGAUGCUACCCAUGUCAAGAAGACCAGGUUCAUCACCUUUUUCUUUUGAUGGGUAAAUAACAUAUUUUAUAUUAUAUUUUCACUAAGCCCAACAGGCAUGAUUACAAGUUGUGCAAAUCAGCGCAGUUGAGCACCUUUUUCUCCACUGCAGAUUCUCUAGAGAAUGUCGGGAGUUAUCCUAAAUCUUCAUGGUAUUACAUGAGUGAUUCCUCAGAAUGUGAAAAGUUUACUAAAAUGAUGGCAGCAGCAGGUGAUACCAAAAGGGAUAAAGCAGAGAACUAUUCUAUUGAGCAUCUUGUGGACGAUAUGGCUGGAGCUGAAGAUUGCUUUGAAGGACGGAGAAUUCACAUUUCUAGAACUAAGAAUAUAUGUUUACAAAAAUUUUCUGGUGUAGAAGUAGCUUAAUGGAUAGUUUGAACCAAUAUAUGGUUUCUCGGAUUUGCUAGGAAGAAGAGUGUGUGGUAGGCUGCUUUUCCUUCUAUGUUCUUUUUGUUUCUUUUCUUGUACCAUCUUGAUACCAUUUUAAUAAAAUCUUUACCUUAUCGAAAAAACGAAAGGUAACCAUGACAUCCAAAAUAUAAGUUCUUUAUUUAAAUUUUAGAGAAAAAACCUUGAGGAUGGCCUGGUUAUUUUGUGCACAGGUUCUUGCCUUUUUAUUUAUUUGGUGAGAUGUCCAUUUACUUGUCUGCAAUUCACCUAUCUGUAUUGUUAUCCAAUUGUUAUUCGCAUAACCUGUCACCAUCACGAUUUAGAAAAUGACUACCUAGAAAAAGAACAGUAUGUCCAACAGUACUAGGCUGAAUUUCUUAAGGAGGGUUAUAAAUCACAACAUAAACCACAUUGUCUUUAGUGGCCAUGUCUUGUUUUAUCUCUUGUCCUUCUAUUCUUAUUAAAACUCUAGAAAACCAGCAAUAUUAAACAUAAAGAUUAACAAUAUAUACAAUUGCAUUUUCCUAGAUGAUAAUAACUCUUUGCUUUUGCCAAUUCUUUUAGAGGUUUACGUCAUGUCCCAUCGCCAGCCAGUUGCACAGCUUUAAUUCGUAAUUAUAUACUUGAGGCUUGAUGAAAAAUCAAUAAUAUUACCUACUGCAAACUUUAGCGGAUAAGGAGAUGCUUGCAAAUUACUCUCAGUUCUGAUAUGUCCAAUCCCUUGUUCCAUCUAGCAUCAUUCACAUCCAACCAAAUCCCAGAGAGUGAUGGUUCUCUCAGAGGUUGUAGAGUAAAUAUUGCUAAGAGCGACAAUCAUUUAUCAGUUAUGGAGGAUUCUAAAGACAUCCAGAACUUCUAUACCAACUACGGGUUCUAUCAAGGAUAUGCAGUCAAUCAACAAGAACAAGAAAUGAAUAAACAACAACAAGAAAUGAAUGUAUAUGCUGCCCAUUCUGCAGAUCAAUUAAGUCAAGGAGAAGUGAAGCUCAAUAGUCUAGAAACAGGAAGCAAUGUGGGCGAGGUACCUUUUUUAUCUCUAGCUCCUUUUGAAUUGCUGAGGAACAAUCCAAGCAAGCACAAGAAUACUGAAGGAGAUAAAGCUAGAGAUGUGAAUGGCGGAGCCAACGUGCACCAGAAGCUCUCAGCUAUGC
RNAcentral lists this long non-coding RNA (3512 nucleotides) under Capsicum annuum. RNAcentral's name for it is "long non-coding RNA (CANN_LNC001505)". The record is from RNAcentral. Lineage: Eukaryota; Viridiplantae; Streptophyta; Magnoliopsida; Solanales; Solanaceae.